CAGUCGCCGCGGGAAUACGUAGGGCGCAAGCGUUAUCCGGAAUUAUUGGGCGUAAAGAGCUCGUAGGCGGUUUGUCGCGUCUGCCGUGAAAGUCCGGGGCUCAACCCCGGAUCUGCGGUGGGUACGGGCAGACUAGAGUGAUGUAGGGGAGACUGGAAUUCCUGGUGUAGCGGUGAAAUGCGCAGAUAUCAGGAGGAACACCGAUGGCGAAGGCAGGUCUCUGGGCAUUAACUGACGCUGAGGAGCGAAAGCAUGGGGAGCGAACAGGAUUAGAUACCCGAGUAGUCCCUGUCUCUUAUAC
RNAcentral lists this ribosomal RNA (301 nucleotides) under uncultured bacterium. RNAcentral's name for it is "partial 16S ribosomal RNA". It matches the Rfam family "Bacterial small subunit ribosomal RNA", at positions 509 to 807 of the family's 1533-position model. The record is from RNAcentral.